UACGUAGGCAGCAAGCGUUGUUCGGAGUUACUGGGCGUAAAGGGUGCGUAGCGGCUUUUUAAGUCUGGUGUGAAAUCUCCCGGCUCAACUGGGAGGGUGCGCCGGAUACUGAGGGGCUAGAGUGUGGGAGAGGAAAGUGGAAUUCCUGGUGUAGCGGUGAAAUGCGUAGAUAUCAGGAGGAACACCGGUGGUGUAAACGGCUUUCUGGACAGUGACUGACGCUGAGACGCGAAAGCGUGGGGAGCAAACAGG
This 252-nucleotide ribosomal RNA is filed under the name uncultured bacterium. RNAcentral describes it as "partial 16S ribosomal RNA". It matches the Rfam family "Bacterial small subunit ribosomal RNA", at positions 524 to 776 of the family's 1533-position model. The record is from RNAcentral.